GACGAACGCUGGCGGCGUGCUUAACACAUGCAAGUCGAACGGAAAGGCCCUGCUUUUGUGGGGUGCUCGAGUGGCGAACGGGUGAGUAACACGUGAGUAACCUGCCCUUGACUUUGGGAUAACUUCAGGAAACUGGGGCUAAUACCGGAUAGGAGCUCCUGCUGCAUGGUGGGGGUUGGAAAGUUUCGGCGGUUGGGGAUGGACUCGCGGCUUAUCAGCUUGUUGGUGGGGUAGUGGCUUACCAAGGCUUUGACGGGUAGCCGGCCUGAGAGGGUGACCGGCGACAUGGCGACUGAGAUACGGCCCAGAAGCCAACGGGACGCAGCAGUGGGGAGUAUUGCACAAUGGGCGGAAGCCUGAUGUAGCAACGCCGCGUGCGGGAUGACGUCCUUCGGGUUGUAAACCGAUUUCGCCUGUGACGAAGCGUGAGUGACGGUAAUGGGUAAAGAAGCACCGGCUAACUACGUG
This 468-nucleotide ribosomal RNA is filed under the name uncultured bacterium. RNAcentral's name for it is "partial 16S ribosomal RNA". It matches the Rfam family "Bacterial small subunit ribosomal RNA", at positions 28 to 507 of the family's 1533-position model. The record is from RNAcentral.